GGGGAUCAUGAGAGAGGGGGUUGUGGUGGUGCAUUUAAGGUAUAAAGUAUCAAGAAAAGUCUGAGAAAACAUUGGAAGAUUGUUGUGGAGACAUAUGAUCGAUACUUGAAGGAACAUGUGUCAAAACAAGAGCUAGAAAACCACACAAACUAAUUAGUUUAGCAUCUUGCUUGUGUCCAUAGGUCUAGAAAGAAGAAUAGAAAGGAAAUGAGAGGAGAAGAUGAUGGAGGAGUAGAUUUAACUCUGGACACGAGAAAAGAAGAGAAGAGAAAGGGCAUUUCUCUUCUCUCCAAAUAUCUGCACUUUUGGAGAGGUUGAAAAAGGGAGUUCAGAAAGACUCAGUUUCUCUCUAUUUCUCCUCUUCUUUCCUCACUUGACUAUUCAAACAAGGGAUGUUAGCUCUCUUUCUCUCCUCCCCCACCCCUCUCUUCAUUACAAAUGAGGGAUCCCCCUUUCUCUUCUCUCCAAAUAUCUGCACUUUUGGAGAGGUUGAAAAAGGGAGUUCAGAAAGAAUCAGUUUCUCUGUAUUUCUCCUCUUCUUUCCUCACUUGACUAUUCAAACAAGGGAUGUUAACUUUCUUUCUUUCCUCCCCCACCCCUUUCUCCAUUACAAAUGAGGGAUCCUGACAUUUUUUCUUUCUUUGUCUUUUCUUCCCUCCGAAUCUCUCAGUCCAAAUACCAGAGGUGUAAAUUAGGAUACACAUAUGCAUGUGUACUCACGGACGUGCAUACCUGUAUUCAUACAUAAAGAUAUGUACGUGUCUAUAUGUGUUCAUGUUGAAGUGUUUAUAUAAGCAAAAUCUUAAAAUGUGAUUAAGGGGGGAAGAAAAACAAAGAGGACAUAAUUCUUUGUUCCUUGGAAAGCCAUAUCAUCUUUGUUAUUAGUAUUUUUGUUAUUUUAGUAAAAUAAGUCAUACCAUCAUGACAAGUCAGUGAGGUCUUAUUUCUUGGAAGGAAAUUUCCC
This 964-nucleotide long non-coding RNA is filed under the name Elaeis guineensis (African oil palm). RNAcentral's name for it is "long non-coding RNA (EGUI_LNC031545)". The record is from RNAcentral. Lineage: Eukaryota; Viridiplantae; Streptophyta; Magnoliopsida; Arecales; Arecaceae.